UGGCGGCGUGCCUAAUACAUGCAAGUCGAACGAGUUCUGAUUAUUGAAAGGUGCUUGCAUCUUGAUUUAAUUUUGAACGAGUGGCGGACGGGUGAGUAACACGUGGGUAACCUGCCCUUAAGUGGGGGAUAACAUUUGGAAACAGAUGCUAAUACCGCAUAAAUCCAAAAACCGCAUGGUUCUUGGCUGAAAGAUGGCGUAAGCUAUCGCUUUUGGAUGGACCCGCGGCGUAUUAGCUAGUUGGUGAGGUAACGGCUCACCAAGGCAAUGAUACGUAGCCGAACUGAGAGGUUGAUCGGCCACAUUGGGACUGAGACACGGCCCAAACUCCUACGGGAGGCAGCAGUAGGGAAUCUUCCACAAUGGACGCAAGUCUGAUGGAGCAACGCCGCGUGAGUGAAGAAGGCUUUCGGGUCGUAAAACUCUGUUGUUGGAGAAGAAUGGUCGGCAGAGUAACUGUUGUCGGCGUGACGGUAUCCAACCAGAAAGCCACGGCUAACUACGUGCCAGCAGCCGCGGUAAUACGUAGGUGGCAAGCGUUAUCCGGAUUUAUUGGGCGUAAAGCGAGCGCAGGCGGUUUUUUAAGUCUGAUGUGAAAGCCCUCGGCUUAACCGAGGAAGUGCAUCGGAAACUGGGAAACUUGAGUGCAGAAGAGGACAGUGGAACUCCAUGUGUAGCGGUGAAAUGCGUAGAUAUAUGGAAGAACACCAGUGGCGAAGGCGGCUGUCUGGUCUGUAACUGACGCUGAGGCUCGAAAGCAUGGGUAGCGAACAGGAUUAGAUACCCUGGUAGUCCAUGCCGUAAACGAUGAAUGCUAGGUGUUGGAGGGUUUCCGCCCUUCAGUGCCGCAGCUAACGCAUUAAGCAUUCCGCCUGGGGAGUACGACCGCAAGGUUGAAACUCAAAGGAAUUGACGGGGGCCCGCACAAGCGGUGGAGCAUGUGGUUUAAUUCGAAGCAACGCGAAGAACCUUACCAGGUCUUGACAUCUUUUGAUCACCUGAGAGAUCAGGUUUCCCCUUCGGGGGCAAAAUGACAGGUGGUGCAUGGUUGUCGUCAGCUCGUGUCGUGAGAUGUUGGGUUAAGUCCCGCAACGAGCGCAACCCUUAUGACUAGUUGCCAGCAUUUAGUUGGGCACUCUAGUAAGACUGCCGGUGACAAACCGGAGGAAGGUGGGGAUGACGUCAAAUCAUCAUGCCCCUUAUGACCUGGGCUACACACGUGCUACAAUGGAUGGUACAACGAGUUGCGAGACCGCGAGGUCAAGCUAAUCUCUUAAAGCCAUUCUCAGUUCGGACUGUAGGCUGCAACUCGCCUACACGAAGUCGGAAUCGCUAGUAAUCGCGGAUCAGCACGCCGCGGUGAAUACGUUCCCGGGCCUUGUACACACCGCCCGUCACACCAUGAGAGUUUGUAACACCCGAAGCCGGUGGCGUAACCCUUUUAGGGAGCGAGCCGUCUAAGGUGGGACAAAUGAUUAGGGUGAAGUCA
This 1489-nucleotide ribosomal RNA is filed under the name uncultured organism. Its description in RNAcentral is "SSU rRNA". It matches the Rfam family "Bacterial small subunit ribosomal RNA". The record is from RNAcentral.